UCCUUGGAGGUUUUUAAGACCUCACUACAGAAAGCCUUGGUGGGGUUGAUAUAGUUGGGGAUGGUCUUGCUUUGAGCUGGGGGGUGGAUUACAUGUGUCCUCCUCAGGUCCCUUCUAACUCAAAUAUUCUCUGAUUGUAUGAUUAAUUCUGCUGCACAUUAGCAGCUCCUGCUAAUGUCAAUGCUAGUUCUCAGCACUGUAGAUUCAUAGUUUCAUAGUUAUAGGGUCGGAAGGGACCUAAGUAGAUCAUCAAGUCCGACCCCUGCCCUGGGCAGGAGUGAAUACUGGGCUCAUAUGACCCCAGCUAGGUAAUUAGCAAGCCUCCUCUUAAAAACCCACAAGACAGGAGCCAGCAUCACUUCCCUUAGAAGUUGGUUCCAGAUCCUAGCCGCCCUGACUGUGUCCAGCCUGAUGCUUCCUGAUCAGUGCUUCCUGUCCAUCAGUGCUUCCUGAUGUCCAGCCUGAACCUACUCUCUACCAACUUACGGGCGUUAUUCCGGGAGGUGCUUGGGGGAACAGGGUUUCUCCCACUCCCCGCUGGUCCCUUCUGGUGAGUUUAUAGAUGGCCACUAGGUCCCCUCUCAGCCUUCUCUUGUGGAGGCUGAACAGGUUCAGGUCCCGUAGCCUCUCCUCGUAGGGCCUGCCCUGCUGCCCCCAGACCAUGUGAGUGACCCUCCUCUGGACCCUCUUGAUGCUGGCCACAUCCCUCCUGAAGCGCAGCACCCAGAACUGGACGCAGUACUCCAGCUGUGGCCUGACCAGUGUCGCACAGAGGGGGAGGAUCACCUCCUUGGACCUGCUCGAGAUGUACCUGUGGAUGCAUGACAAGGUGCGCUUAGCCUUCCUGACUGCGUCCCCACACUGUCGGCCCAUGUUCAUUUUGGAAUCGAUAAUAACUCCAAGAUCCCUUUCUGUCACUGUGCUUUUGAGAAGGGAGUUCCCCAGCCUGUAGGUAUGCUGCUGGUUUUUCCUGCCCAAGUGCAGUACCCUGCACUUGUCAGUAUUGAAUCUCACCCUAUUCUCAUUCGCCCACCCCUGUAACCUGUCCAGGGCCAGUUGUAUCCUGUCCCUCCCUUCUAGCAUGCCUACCUCACCCCAAAUGUUGGUGUCAUCAGUGAAUUUGAACAGGGUGCUUUUUAUCCCCUUGUCCAAGUCGCUAAUAAAGAAAUUGAACAGUGUGGGCCUGAGGACCGAGCCCUGGGGGACUCCACUGCCCACAUCCCUUCAGGUCAAAUAUGACCCAUCCACCACCACUCUCUGGGUGCGGCCCCUCAGACAAUUUGCGAUCCAUUUGACUGUGUAGGCAUCAAUGCCAUAUUCGUCUAGCUUUUUAAUGAGAAUGGGGUGGUCGACAGUGUCAAAGGCCUUCCUGAAGUCCAGAAAGACUAUGUCCACCGCAACACCUGCGUCCAAGGAUCUUGUGACCUGAUGGUAGAAGACAAUCAGGUUGGUCUGACAGGACCUGCCCCUAAUGAAGCCAUGCUGGUUGCCCCUGAGUAUCAUCCCCCCUGCUGGUCCUUCACAGAUGUGCUCCUGGAUAAUCUUCUCAAAGAGCUUCCCCAGAAUCAAAGUAAGACUAAUUGGCUUAUAGUUGCCUGGGUCCUCCCUUCUCCCUUUUUUGAUAAUGGGGACCACAUUGGCCUUCUUUCAGUCUUCUGGCACCACACCAGAGCACCACGAGUGCUUGUAAAGCCGUGCCAGGGGCCUCGUGAUAACCCCUGCCAAUUCCCUCAGCACCCUGGGGUGGAGAGCAUCUGGACCUGCUGAUUUGAACACAUCCAGCCUCUCCAGAAGUUCCCUAACUUGGUCCUCCCUGACCCUAGGCCUGGCAGAGUCUCUCCUGGGUCCAUCCUGAAUCCCAGUGGGGGAGAUAUCCCAGUCCCUGCACAAAAAAAUGGAGGCAAAGAAUCUGUUAAAAAGGUCUGCCUUUUCCUUUGGUGUAACCACCAGAUUACCAAGCAAAUCCUCCAGGGGCCCCACAUUACCCAGUGCCUUCGUUAUACUCCCCAUGUAUUUAAAAAAGGAAUUUUUGUUGUCCUCGAUCCUCGAAGCAAGCCCUAGUUCCAUAUCUGCCUUAGCUUUCCUAACAGCCCCCCUACAAACCCAAGCGAUGGAGGUGUGCUCCUCUUGGUGAUAGCCCCUCCCUUUGACUGGGUACAUGCCUCCUUUUUGGCUUUCAGGUGUUCCUGAAUGCCUUUGGUGAGCCAGGGGGCCUUUUGAACACUCUUGCCCCCUUUGAUUCUCAUUGGGACUGUCACCCCCUGGGCUUGGAGGAUCAUCUCCUUAAGGAACGACCACUCGUCUUGGACACCCAGUUCCCCUACCCUCCAGGGCCCCAGUGCCCCUCCUACCAAUCUCAUCAACUCAUUGAAGUUGGCCCUCUUGAAGUCAAGGGCUACUGCCUUGCUGCAGGCCCUUGACACCCUGCGCUGGAUGGUGAAUUCCAGCAAGUGAUGAUCGCUGUCGCCCAGGUGGUCAAGAACCUGGAGUCCCCUCACCAGGUUGUCACCUGUGGCCAGGACCAGGUCCAGCAGGGCAUUCCCCCUGGUGGGGCUGUGCACCUCCUGGGUUAGGUGGAGGUCCUGUAUCUCAGAAAGAAACCUACGUGAGAGGUCAGACCUGGCUGACUGCUCCUUGCAGCAGAAGUCCAGGUAGUUUAGAUCACCCAUGAUGACUACAUUCCUUGCCUUAACUGCCUCUGCAAGCUGACCUGAGAAUUCGCAGUCUAGCUCUUCCCCUUGGUUGGGAGGUCUGUAGUAGACCCCCACCAUUAAGUCCCUUUCCCCAUGACCCCCCUGUAACCUGACCCAGAGCUCUUCAGUCUGCCCCUCCUCUGACCCCAUCCUGUUAGUUGAGGACAUGCAUUGCUCUUUGACGUAGAGUGCCACACCCCUGCCUUUCCUCCCCGUACUAUACCGCCUGUAGAGUCUGAAGCCUCUAAUGUUUAUCGCCCAGUCAUGGGAUGAAUCCCACCAGGUUUCUGUGAGCCCUACUAUGUCUGGGUUUGUACUAGCUAUCCGGAGGGCGAGUUCCUCCUGCUUAUUCCCUAUGCUAUGAGCAUUAGUGUAGAGGCAUUUAAGGCCUCGUAUUGGUACAUGCACCACCCCUCGAUUCUUAGGUCUAUCCGGACCCCUGUCACUUACCUGAGUACUCCUUGUGCAUGUCACCUGUCUUGGCUGGGAGGUGUCCUCAUGUCCUCCUGUGGCCCCAUCCUUUGUAGCCAGAGGUAGCCCAUUGGAUUGCUUUUAAGUUCAGCAAGAAACACGAGCUCAGGCAUGGAAACAUUAACUCAUGUGACCAUUACCUCAGGGGUGGAUAUCUCCUUCAGAGAAGAAUAGGAAAUGCUGUCAAGAUGCUCAAGAAGGUGAGUUGGUCUUUCAUGAGUCUGAGAGAGAUGGACAUUGGAUACUAAUAGCUCCAGGACUAAUGAUAGCACCAUAUUUAAUGAUGUUUGCCUUUUUAAUUGUGUUUUUUGACAUAAUGGACACUAGAGCAAAUGAACACACCUUCCAAUAAAGUCUUUGUUUGUCUUUUCUUGAGCCUGAACCUGAAUAACACAGACCCAGACCCCUCGCAUCUCAGGAAAUGGUUUUGAUUUCUUUGGACUGGAGAUAAAAAUAUGUGUUGUGUUUCAUGUGAGGAGGUGGCCCACUCUCUUCCUCUUUACUCAUUUUGUCAGCAACCUAGAUCCCCCCUCCUGGCCUGGCUUCCACUGGCCUUCUUCCAGCCACUGAGACACAAGCUUUCUUCGGGUGUAUGUAUGUCUGUGCGUGGUUGGGAAAAUGAGGUGCCCAGAUUGGAUAAGCCAUGUUAAGCCCCACCCAUGCAGGAGAGGAACAAGUUCACAGUGGUGAAAUCGAAACGCUGCUGACGUGUCCCGGGGAGUUGGCAGGUGCUGGAGGCUUUCGCUUCCUAUAUCACUUGGAGCAAACACUGCAGUCAACAGCAUCUUCUCCUACACCAAACAUGGUUGAUGAGGACCUGACAGCUAUUCCUGGCCACAGAGUCUCUUCAGAAUUGCCAACGCCACCCAUGCCAUUAUCUGUCCCAAACCUCCUGAAUGAACGCAACCGACUGGGGGCCAAUGGAGAGCUGGACAAUGCAACUCGGCGGUGUUUCAAUCAUGCCAUACAGCUCUUGAAUGUCCAGUCCAACAGAAUACAAGACAAUACCACGCUGGUGCUUGACUAUGGCAUGGUCUCUGAAAAGAGUUAUCUACAUUGUUUGAGUGAAAUUAAGCAUGCUCAUUAUACAGAAUGGAGAAGGUUUUAGAAGAUCAUAAACUCCUCACCUUUACAAGGGAGUUGUGUGCAGUGAGAGGAGUCUCCGUUGUUGUAGUCUCUGUGAAGGGAGUGGUCCAGCAGAGCGGUCUCUGUGACUGAAGCUUGUUUGUCAUGGGCAUUCAGCUUUUCAUCUUCCCUUGGUCCAUCAUCAUCAGUUAUUGUGGUCAUCUGUCCCUAGAUCCCUAACUAGGCCGGAGUAAUUGAAGAACACACUUACCUGAGACAGAGGAGUGCUAAGGAAUUGGGUAAAGUAUCACCUUCCCAUGAGUAAGUGUGGGACCAGCUUGGGUGUUGCUAGUUGUGGGAGAAGUCCUGGGAGCAGUAGGGGUGUCUGUGUGGUUAUGUUGGGAGGUGAAAAUCUGUUCUUGCAUAUAUUUGCAUAUAAAUUCUAUUAUCUGUGUAUAACCUUGCUAAUAGUUGUACUAAAUGUUGAACCAUUUGUAUGCUGUUCUGUGCUGAUGUGUUUGAUAUUUGGUGUGAUACCAUAUAUGUGUGUUGU
This is a long non-coding RNA of Alligator mississippiensis (American alligator), 4782 nucleotides long. RefSeq lists it as uncharacterized. The record is from RefSeq and is a predicted model, not a curated record. The transcript is spliced from 4 exons. Lineage: Eukaryota; Metazoa; Chordata; Crocodylia; Alligatoridae.